RNAcentral lists this ribosomal RNA (429 nucleotides) under Bacillota bacterium. RNAcentral's name for it is "Firmicutes bacterium partial 16S ribosomal RNA". It matches the Rfam family "Bacterial small subunit ribosomal RNA", at positions 355 to 776 of the family's 1533-position model. Lineage: Bacteria; Bacillati; Bacillota. The record is from RNAcentral.
UGGGGAAUUUUGGACAAUGGGGGCAACCCUGAUCCAGCCAUGCCGCGUGCGGGAAGAAGGCCUUCGGGUUGUAAACCGCUUUUAGCCGGGACGAAAGCGCUACGGAUAACACCCGUGGUGGUUGACGGUACCGGCGGAAUAAGCACCGGCUAACUACGUGCCAGCAGCCGCGGUAAUUCGUAGGGUGCGAGCGUUAAUCGGAAUUACUGGGCGUAAAGCGUGCGCAGGCGGUUCGUUGUGUCGGCGGUGAAAGCCCCGGGCUCAACCUGGGAAUGGCCGUUGAAACUGGCGAACUGGAGUGUGGCAGAGGGGGGUGGAAUUCCGCGUGUAGCAGUGAAAUGCGUAGAGAUGCGGAGGAACACCGAUGGCGAAGGCAGCCCCCUGGGCUGACACUGACGCUCAGGCACGAAAGCGUGGGGAGCAAACAGG